AUGAUCGCAGAAGCCCUGGCAGUUCGAGACAGCGUCGUCUUCGCAAAUCUCAGAGGAUUCUUGCAUGUGGUGUUGGAAACUGACAGCCUGGAGGUGGUUAACCUCUGGAACACUCGCCUCAACAGUCGUUCAGUUGUGGCACCAACUCUUCUAGAAAUUGAUGAGCUUUCUGCUAGUUUUCAUUCUUUUGUAAUUCAACGUGUAAGUAGAUCAGCUAAUGGUUCAGCUCACCUUUGUGCAAAACGUGCUUGCAUGGUGACUGCUACCGAAAGCUGGCUUACGGAAACUCCCAGCUUCCUGAUCAGCAGCCUUCUAGCUGACUGUCCAGCGAAUGUGUUCGUUUGA
RNAcentral lists this ribosomal RNA (345 nucleotides) under Triticum aestivum (bread wheat). RNAcentral describes it as "partial small subunit ribosomal RNA". The record is from RNAcentral. Lineage: Eukaryota; Viridiplantae; Streptophyta; Magnoliopsida; Poales; Poaceae.